Long non-coding RNA from Haemorhous mexicanus (house finch), 1661 nucleotides. RefSeq lists it as uncharacterized. The transcript has 2 exons. The record is from RefSeq and is a predicted model, not a curated record. NCBI's taxonomy places the organism in Eukaryota, Metazoa, Chordata, Aves, Passeriformes, Fringillidae.
GCCCUAAAAAAGUGAGAAAUUCUUAGAGACACUUUUCUAAGCAACACUCCAGCACAUGACUCUGCCACUGCAUAUUUAAUUCCUUCUAAUGCAACAGUGAGUAAUGUCUGCUUAAUGUCUUCAUGUAGUGAAAUGCAGGCAUUGCAGAUCAUGUCUGGUCAUGGAUUUAUGCAUUAGCAGUGAAAUGCAGGCAUUGCAGAUCACAUCUGGUUGUGGAUUUAUGCAUUAGUAGUGAAAUGCAGGCAUUGCAGAUCAUGUCUGACCAUGGAUUUAUGCAUUAGCAGUGAAAUGCAGGCAUUGCAGAUCACAUCUGGUCACGGAUUUAUGCAUUAGUAGUGAAAUGCAGACAUUGCAGAUCACAUCUGGUCAUGGAUUUAUGCAUUAGUUAAGAUAGUAGCAGAUUAUUUUAUUGUUUUAGACCAGUGCUCCAGUUAAAUGAGGUAGUUCAAGAAACCCCAAGCAUAAGCAAGAGAGCUACAAAGAUCCCAGCAUAAGACCACAACAUGUAAUUUUUUUACCAAAUAUUUUUUCCAUCAAAAGUGUAAUGGCAACUCAGAGGCUUCCUAUGUGCAAGGUGAAUGGGAGGGGACUGGAAAACACUUGGAUGCUUCCAAGUGUUGUCUCUAUAGAUGUUUUUCACAAACCCAGACACACAUGGAUUUAUGUAUGAGUGAAAUCACAAAACCAUGUGGGAUGGUUGCUAUAAGGAUAAUUUUACAGGUAGUUAUCUACACUAACAUGCAUCUACACUAACACAUAUGGGUGCAUAUGAAUGUAUUAGAAAGACAAGCAAAAACAACAGAAGAUUCAGAAAAGUUAAAACCAGAAAAGACCACAAGAACGAUCCAAGAGUUUUUCUGCUUUGCAUUAGCCAGUCAUUGUUAUCUAAAGCAACCUCUGCUAGGCUGCACAAGGUGCUGAAAUCAUACAGCAUGAUGUGAAAAGAUCGUUUCACUGGCUCGUGCUGUUUGGAGGCGGCGCUGUCGGUUCCCUGAGCGGCCAGCAGGGGCCGCAGGGUUCGCAGAGAAAUCCCCGGCACCUCCUUCCUCCCGCGGCCGGGGCACAGCGGUACUCACCGAGGGACGGCAAAUGCUGCUGCUCGCCUGAGGGGUUUAAAUUGUAUGUCACUGCUAUAGGGUCCACAUUGAAGAAAGUGCUAAAAAAAAGAAAAAAAAAAAAAAGCCUUCACUGUAAAUGAACCUAGGUCUGUACUGGCACAAGUAUUUGUAACACUCAUUUCAUAGACUCGGAGAUAAAUUUUAGCCUCACUCACUUUUCAAAUCCACUGUGGGUACCCCAGCAGGUUUUCAGGCUGCCCAUGCCUUGACUGGUGUGAAGAAAUCCGGUUUUUAAGGGGACUCUCAUCUCCUGAGCAGCAACUCCUGCAGUUGACAUGGUGCAGUGCUCUCUGAGGAUGUCUCACAACCCUUGAUAUUCAGGACUUGGCAGGUUUCCUGCAGCUUUCAUUCCCUUCAAGAGGGAGGACACAAAUGUCAGAAAUAUAAACCUGAUGUUGCUCCACGUCUCAUCUGAAUUUUCAGUAUUCAAGGAAUUAAAUAGCUCUGUAGAAAGGCCUCCUAUCCUAAUACUUGCCAACUGGAAAACUUGACCAAGCUUCUUGUUUUGAGUCUGAUUGCAAAAUUAAAGUACAAAGAACUACA